UACGUAGGGGGCAAGCGUUAUCCGGAUUCACUGGGUGUAAAGGGAGCGUAGACGGCGACGCAAGUCUGGAGUGAAAGCCCGGGGCCCAACCCCGGGACUGCUCUGGAAACUGCGUCGCUGGAGUACGGGAGGGGCAGGCGGAAUUCCUGGUGUAGCGGUGAAAUGCGUAGAUAUCAGGAGGAACACCGGCGGCGAAGGCGGAUUGCUGGACAGUAACUGACGCUGAGGCGCGAAAGCGUGGGGAGCAAACAGG
This 253-nucleotide ribosomal RNA is filed under the name uncultured bacterium. RNAcentral's name for it is "partial 16S ribosomal RNA". It matches the Rfam family "Bacterial small subunit ribosomal RNA", at positions 524 to 776 of the family's 1533-position model. The record is from RNAcentral.